GAUGAGAAGCUUCGACUAAGGUUCGACUCGAGCGAAGCGAGAGAACGUUGCCGCAGGCAACGGCCCGAAGGGCGAGGAGCGAUAGCGACGAGUUAUCCUUCCCCCACCACCA
RNAcentral lists this small RNA (112 nucleotides) under Klebsiella pneumoniae. RNAcentral describes it as "RtT sRNA". It matches the Rfam family "RtT RNA", at positions 21 to 130 of the family's 130-position model. From Rfam's summary of the family: This family represents a bacterial cis-regulatory element known as RtT RNA. The exact function of RtT is unknown although it is thought that it may be involved in changing the cellular response in relation to amino acid starvation. The record is from RNAcentral. RNAcentral also lists the same sequence under 1 other name. Lineage: Bacteria; Pseudomonadati; Pseudomonadota; Gammaproteobacteria; Enterobacterales; Enterobacteriaceae.